GACGAACGCUGGCGGCGCGCCUAACACAUGCAAGUCGAACGAGCGAGAGGAGGUUUACUUUCUCAAGCGAGUGGCGAACGGGUGAGUAACGCGUGAGGAACCUGCCUCAAAGAGGGGGACAACAGUUGGAAACGACUGCUAAUACCGCAUAAGCCCACGACCCGGCAUCGGGUAGAGGGAAAAGGAGCAAUCCGCUUUGAGAUGGCCUCGCGUCCGAUUAGCUAGUUGGUGAGGUAAUGGCCCACCAAGGCGACGAUCGGUAGCCGGACUGAGAGGUUGAACGGCCACAUUGGGACUGAGACACGGCCCAGACUCCUACGGGAGGCAGCAGUGGGGAAUAUUGCACAAUGGGGGAAACCCUGAUUCAGCGACGCCGCGUGGAGGAAGAAGGUCUUCGGAUUGUAAACUCCUGUUGUUGAGGAAGAUAAUGACGGUACUCAACAAGGAAGUGACGGCUAACUACGUG
RNAcentral lists this ribosomal RNA (466 nucleotides) under uncultured bacterium. RNAcentral describes it as "partial 16S ribosomal RNA". It matches the Rfam family "Bacterial small subunit ribosomal RNA", at positions 28 to 507 of the family's 1533-position model. The record is from RNAcentral.